Molecule: ribosomal RNA, 253 nt
Filed under: uncultured bacterium
Lineage: Bacteria
Description: partial 16S ribosomal RNA
Rfam family: Bacterial small subunit ribosomal RNA
Source: RNAcentral
GACAGAGGGUGCAAACGUUGUUCGGAAUUACUGGGCGUAAAGCGCGUGUAGGCAGCUCGGCAAGUCGGGUGUGAAAGCCCUGGGCUCAACCUAGGAAGUGCACUCGAAACUUCCGAGCUGGAGUACUGGAGAGGAAGGCGGAAUUCUCGGUGUAGAGGUGAAAUUCGUAGAUAUCGAGAGGAACACCGGUGGCGAAGGCGGCCUUCUGGACAGUCACUGACGCUGAGACGCGAAAGCGUGGGGAGCAAACAGG